This 108-nucleotide non-coding RNA is filed under the name Compsopogon caeruleus. The record is from RNAcentral. Lineage: Eukaryota; Rhodophyta; Compsopogonophyceae; Compsopogonales; Compsopogonaceae.
GCCCGCCGAAAAACCAUCGCUGGCCUACAAACGAACCCUUUCAAGAGUGGAAAAUCAGAACAGUAAUGGGCGAGUAAGGGUCCAUAUUGCCGUCCGUGUGUAAGUGUU